Molecule: ribosomal RNA, 468 nt
Filed under: uncultured bacterium
Lineage: Bacteria
Description: partial 16S ribosomal RNA
Rfam family: Bacterial small subunit ribosomal RNA
Source: RNAcentral
GACGAACGCUGGCGGCGUGCUUAACACAUGCGAGUCGAACGGAAAGGCCCUGCUUUUGUGGGGUGCUCGAGUGGCGAACGGGUGAGUAACACGUGAGUAACCUGCCCUUGACUUUGGGAUAACUUCAGGAAACUGGGGCUAAUACCGGAUAGGAGCUCCUGCUGCAUGGUGGGGGAUGGAAAGUUUCGGCGGUUGGGGAUGGACUCGCGGCUUAUCAGCUUGUUGGUGGGGUAGUGGCUUACCAAGGCUUUGACGGGUAGCCGGCCUGAGAGGGUGACCGGCCACAUUGGGACUGAGAUACGGACCAGACUCCUACGGGAGGCAGCAGUGGAGAGUAUUGCACAAUGGGCGGAAGCCUGAUGCAGCAACGCCGCGUGCGGGAUGACGGCCUUCUGGUUGUAAACCGCUUUCGCCUGUGACAAAGCGUGAGUGACGGUAAUGGGUAAAGAAGCACCGGCUAACUACGUG